AACAGAUUGUACACCAGCAGUAUAAAACACACAACUACAAGUUACUUCAGAACAUAACAAAUUGUACACAAGCAGUAUAAAAACACACAACUACAAGUUACUUCAGAACAUAACAGAUUGUACAUAAGCAGAAUAAAACACACAACUACAAAUUACUUCAGAAAAUAACAGAUUGUACACCAGCAGUAUAAAACACACAACUACAAGUUACUUCAGAACAGAACAAAUUGUACAUAAGCAAUAAAAAAAACACACAACUACAGGUUACUUUAGAACAGAACAAAUUGUACAUAAGAAAUAUAAAGCACACAACAACAAAUUACUUCAGAACAUAACAGAUUGUACACCAGCAGUAUAAAACACACAACUACAAGUUACUUCAGAACAAAACAGAUUGUACAUAAGCAGUAUAAAACACAUAACUGCAAGUUACUUCAGAAUACAACAGAUUGUACACCUGCAGUAUAAAACACAACUGCAAGUUACUUCAGAAAAGAACAAAUUGCACAUAAGGGAUAUAAAACACAUAACUGCAUGUUACUUCAGAACAUAACAGAUUGUGCAUUAGCAGUAUAAAACACACAACCAUAUGUUACUUCAGAACAUAACAGAUUGUACACUACCAGAAUAAAACACACAACCACAAGUUACUUCAGAACAUAAUAGAUUGUACACUAGCAGUAUAAAAUACACAACCACAAGUUACUUCAGAACAUAACAGAUUGUACAUUAGCAGUAUUAAACACACAACCACAAGUUACUUCAGAACAUAACAGAUUGUACAUCAGCAGUAUAAAACACACAACUACAAGUUACUUCAGAACAUAACAGAUUGUACACAAGCAGUAUACACAUACAAAUACAAGUUACUUCAGAACAUAACAGAGUGUACAUUAGCAGUAUAAAACACACAACCACAAGUUACUUCAGAACAUAACAGAUUGUACAUUAGCAGUAUAAAACACACAACUACAUGUUACUUCAGAACAUAACAGAUUGUACAUUAGCAGUAUAAAAUACACAACCACAAGUUACUUCAGAACAUAACAGAUUGUACAUUAGCAGUAUAAAACACACAACUACAAGUAUCUUCAGAACAUAACAGAUUGUUCAUUAGCAGUAUAAAACACACAACCACAAGUUACUUCAGAGCAUAACAGAUUGUACAUUAGCAGUAUAACACACAUAACUACAAGUUACCUCAGAACAUAACAGAUUGUACAUCAGCAGUAUAAAAUAUACAACUGCAAGUUUCUUCAGAACAUAACAGAUUAUACACAAGCAGUAUAAAACACAUAACUACAAGUUUCUUCAGAACAUAACAGAUUGUACAUCAGCAGUAUAAAAUAUACAACUGCAAGUUACUUCAGAACAUAACAGAUUGUACAUUAGCAGUAUAAAACACAUAACUACAAGUUACCUCAGAACAUAACAGAUUGUACAUUAGCAGAAUAAAAC
RNAcentral lists this long non-coding RNA (1458 nucleotides) under Mytilus galloprovincialis (Mediterranean mussel). The record is from RNAcentral. Lineage: Eukaryota; Metazoa; Mollusca; Bivalvia; Mytilida; Mytilidae.